RNA transcript from Sorghum bicolor (sorghum), 1141 nucleotides. It is a transcript of the gene named B3 domain-containing protein Os06g0194400, with no coding region annotated. The record is from RefSeq and is a predicted model, not a curated record. The transcript has 6 exons. NCBI's taxonomy places the organism in Eukaryota, Viridiplantae, Streptophyta, Magnoliopsida, Poales, Poaceae.
UCGGCUCCACAAAUUCCAGUCCUUCUUUUUUUUCUCGGCACUGCACUGCACUGCUCUCCUCCCCGAGAGAAGCUGCUCAAAGAAAUCCAAGCGAGAAGGGAGAUGGCGGAGGCGGUAGCGGUGGCGGUGGCGGUGGCGUACGAGGCGCAGCGGCAGAGGCAGGUAGAGGCGAACAAGCGGAAGCUGGACGAGCUGCAGCUCCACCGCCUCUCCGCCGCCGUCAGAGAGGCCGCCGCCGCUGCCAAACCCUCGCCGGCCAAGAAGUGGAAGGCGCGGGUGCCGCGGGACGGUGCCGCCGCCGGCGUGGAGCCGCUACGGCGGUCCGGCCGACUCGCCGACCUCCCCGAGAAGCCCGUGUACUACCAGGUCAGGGUCAAGAAGCUGCUCAAGUAUAAUGCAAGGGUGCCGCUGGACGCUGCCGAGAGGAGCUACGCCAUCUCUAAGGCUGAGGAGCUGGUGCAAGAUCUGGGCUCCAGCUUCCCCAUCUUCAUCCAGCCCAUGAUACAGUCCCAUGUCACCAGAGGCUUCUGGCUGGGCCUCCCGACGUAUUUCUGCCGGAAGCACCUGCCCAAGAGUGAUGAGACGAUCACCCUGGUGGUGGAUGAGGAGGGUGACGAGUCAGACACGCUCUACCUCGCAAAGAAGGCUGGCCUCAGCACUGGAUGGAAAGAGUUCGCCAUCGAGCACAAGCUGCAUGAUGGAGAUUGCUUGGUCUUCCAACUCAUUGAGCAGACAAAGUUCAAGUGGUGCAGGUCUACAUAAUUCGAGCAACUUCCUACUUUGAAAGUGAGCACUGAUGAAACUAGUAGCUUCUAAUAUGGUGAUUGGAGCAGUUACGGAGGCCGGAGCGUAGGACAAGCUCGCAUCUGGAAAUUGCUAGGUGUAACCUUUUUGGGUGGCAGAAAGUUAGUUGUGUUUACCUGACCUAGUAGUAUCUACCAGCUGCUAAUUUGUGUACUUCUUGGGCUUACCAAUUGAACGGUUCAAUCUGCACUAUGCAAGGGGAUGUUGAUGGCUUUAUGGUGCUAGUAUACAGUAAUACAGACACUAUGUAUCGACCAGCUGGCAGCUGCUAUUUCUCGUUGUCAGGAACUUAGUUUGUUGCAGAUACACAAAAGAGAAGCAAUCUCAUGUUGAAUUC